This 253-nucleotide ribosomal RNA is filed under the name uncultured bacterium. Its description in RNAcentral is "partial 16S ribosomal RNA". It matches the Rfam family "Bacterial small subunit ribosomal RNA", at positions 524 to 776 of the family's 1533-position model. The record is from RNAcentral.
UACAGAGGGGGCAAGCGUUAUUCGGAAUUAUUGGGCGUAAAGGGCGCGUAGGCGGCCGAGCAAGUCUUGGGUGAAAUCCCUCGGCUCAACCGAGGAACUGCCUUGGAAACUGCUCGGCUUGAGGCCGGGAGAGGAUGGUGGAAUUCCCAGUGUAGCGGUGAAAUGCGUAGAUAUUGGGAGGAACACCAGUGGCGAAGGCGGCCAUCUGGACCGGUCCUGACGCUGAGGAGCGAAAGCGUGGGGAGCAAACAGG